This 513-nucleotide ribosomal RNA is filed under the name uncultured bacterium. RNAcentral describes it as "partial 16S ribosomal RNA". It matches the Rfam family "Bacterial small subunit ribosomal RNA", at positions 28 to 523 of the family's 1533-position model. The record is from RNAcentral.
GAUGAACGCUGGCGGCGUGCCUAAUACAUGCAAGUCGAACGCGCAGCGAAAGGUGCUUGCACCUUUCAAGCGAGUGGCGAACGGGUGAGUAACACGUGGAUAACCUGCCUCAAGGCUGGGGAUAACAUUUGGAAACAGAUGCUAAUACCGAAUAAAACUUAGUAUCGCAUGAUACAAAGUUAAAAGGCGCUACGGCGUCACCUAGAGAUGGAUCCGCGGUGCAUUAGUUAGUUGGUGGGGUAAAGGCUUACCAAGACGAUGAUGCAUAGCCGAGUUGAGAGACUGAUCGGCCACAUUGGGACUGAGACACGGCCCAAACUCCUACGGGAGGCUGCAGUAGGGAAUCGUCCACAAUGGGCGCAAGCCUGAUGGAGCAACGCCGCGUGUGUGAUAAAGGCUUUCGGGUCGUAAAGCACUGUUGUAUGGGAAGAAAUGCUAAAAUAGGGAAUGAUUUUAGUUUGACGGUACCAUACCAGAAAGGGACGGCUAAAUACGUGCCAGCCGCCGCCGUAA